This is a long non-coding RNA of Musa acuminata AAA Group (dessert banana), 1674 nucleotides long. RefSeq lists it as uncharacterized. Lineage: Eukaryota; Viridiplantae; Streptophyta; Magnoliopsida; Zingiberales; Musaceae. The transcript is spliced from 2 exons. The record is from RefSeq and is a predicted model, not a curated record.
ACAUGUCGUUCCGCAAAGGGGCCGGGAAGACACAAGCUGAGAAGAAUGGUGGCGAAAGGGCGGAGGAAGAAGGUGGAAGGCACCGAUCGUGCCGCUCUAUCAACCGGUUCACCGACCAUAACCUCUCUUGGCGUCCCCUCUCUUGCCGGGCUUUUCGAACGACUCUUGGCUCUUAAAUUUGUGAUUUCAGAGAUUCGGUUGUGAUUGCGGUGAUGGGGAAGCCGAUCUUGGUCACGUUAACUUUCUUGUGGUGAAGUAGGCUUUCGUUUCUGGGUUCUUGGUUUGAGUGGGAGAUGAUUUCAACAAAGAAUGCCGGGUGCCGUGAUAAAGGAUGAUGGAGGAAGCGGAUCUUGAGCGGCCUUGGCCUGAUUGAGUUUCUCGCGAUGUAGCCUUGAAAUGGGAUUUCGAUUCUUGGAUCUUGGUUCUCAUUGAAGAUGAUUCCAGGAAAUGAAUAUUCAUGCUGUGUUUCUUGAUGAUCGGGACGAAGUAUAGAGAGGGCGGAGAGGCUCUUCUUGAUGACGCUGGCGUGGAGAAGUUUCUUUCCUUUGUGAUGAUAUAAAGUGGUGGAGGAUUUGUAGAAAUUUGCAAACAAUUUAUCUCGUAAAGUUGUGAUCCCCAUGAAACGAUUGCGCGGUGCGGAGUUCUUCUCGUGAUCUGUUUUUACGAUCUGAUAGGGGAAGCGGAUCUUGGUCACAUUGGCCUGAUCGAGUGAUUCGUGGUGAGGUCAGGAAGUAGUGUUUUGCUUCUGUGUUGCUGAUUUAUGUCGCAAGUGAGUUCAACGAAGAACGUUUGCAUUCUAUGUUAAAGGAUGAUGUAGGAAGUGGAACUUGGCGACGGAGUCCUGAUUCUUGAUUCUUGGUUUUACUUGAAGAUGAUGAAUCCUCAUUGCUGUGUUGCUAUAAUCGGGCGGAGAGGGUUUUGGUGACAUUGGCCGGAUCGUGUUCUUGGUGGUGAAGUAAAUCGUGGAAGAUUUGUGCAAGAUUUCUUUGUCAAAUAUAACAAGGAUAACCUAAAAGCUUGAAAAAAGAAAUUGUUGAUUGCUCCUUUUUUAUGUUCACCAAGUCAUGUGUUCAGUUAGACGGACUUUUCCUCGUCUGUGUAGAAAAGCGAUUCGGUUUCAAAUGUGGGAAUAUGGUUUUCGACGCAACCUUAGCAGUGACUCGAAGUAACAAAUAGAUUCUGAAUUAAGUGCUGAAGAUAGAGAUAGUCAUUCUAGAAUCUGCAAAGACAAGUAUUGCAUGAGUUCAGACGUAAAACUUGCUACUGUUGCAUCAACUGACAUCGAUAUAGACCCUAAAUUCUUUGCGUUCACGAUGUUACAGUUUGAAGGGUUGCAGAGUGGCUAUCGUAACUCUUUGUAGACGGAGAAUGUUGAGAACUUUAGCAUUCCUCACUGUUGAUGGAAUGAGGUCUUUAUUGUGGACUUUAAGAGGCGGUGGAUAGGCAUACGAUUCUCCACCGUGCUUGUUGUGACUUGUGAUGGGCUCAAAGUUGCUGCACUUGAAGUCGCUGGUGUGCAUUAGCUUGUGUUGUGGGCACAUGUUGAAUCAGAGAUACAUGGAGUUGGAUGAUCUGCUAGAGUAGGUAACAUAACAAUAGGUGUAACUUGCAUAAAUUUAUCAUGUCAACCCAAGGAGCAGUAACUUUUUAUAAUGAAUAUCUUCUAUCAUCUUA